This 293-nucleotide ribosomal RNA is filed under the name Cylindrotheca closterium. Its description in RNAcentral is "partial Bacterial large subunit ribosomal RNA". It matches the Rfam family "Bacterial large subunit ribosomal RNA", at positions 1594 to 1889 of the family's 2925-position model. Lineage: Eukaryota; Bacillariophyta; Bacillariophyceae; Bacillariales; Bacillariaceae. The record is from RNAcentral.
UUGAUUUCACACUGCCGAGAAAAGCCUCUAGAUAGAUAACAGGUGCCCGUACCGCAAACCGACACAGGUAGUCGAGGCGAGUAGCCUCAGGUGAGCGAGAGAACUCUCGUUAAGGAACUCGGCAAAAUGACCCCGUAACUUCGGGAGAAGGGGUGCUCUUUAGGGUUCACCCCAGAAUAGCCGCAGUGAAUAGGCCCAAGCGACUGUUUAUCAAAAACACAGGUCUCUGCUAAACCGUAAGGUGAUGUAUAGGGGCUGACGCCUGCCCGGUGCUGGAAGGUUAAAAGGAGUGG